RNAcentral lists this long non-coding RNA (388 nucleotides) under Hordeum vulgare. RNAcentral describes it as "long non-coding RNA (HVUL_LNC016184)". Lineage: Eukaryota; Viridiplantae; Streptophyta; Magnoliopsida; Poales; Poaceae. The record is from RNAcentral.
GACGACACCGGUGUCCGGGUCGAGCACGCGGGUGCGCUUGCGGGCUUGGAAAAGAUAGAAGGGGUCGGGAUGCCCUGGGAGUGGCACCAUCCCUUCCUCCUCGGCCGCCGGGAUGUUUAUAUGUCCGACGAGCGCGAGAUGAGAUCAGGUCCGCUUGACGGGGUCGAAGUUGUAGACAGCGAUGACGGCCCCGGGGACGCGGCCUUCACGACCUCGGGCAGCACCAGCGCUGCCGCCACAGCCGCCGCGGUCAGCCUGGCCGUGAGCUUCUCCUGCACAGACGCGGAGGAUGCCCGGACGGCCGCCGCCGCCUCCAGCCUCGCCACCCCGCCGCAUGGUGCGCUGCGCGUGCUGCCAGAUCCGGCCCGUCUUGCCAUGGAUCCGGCUG